This 403-nucleotide ribosomal RNA is filed under the name uncultured bacterium. Its description in RNAcentral is "partial 16S ribosomal RNA". It matches the Rfam family "Bacterial small subunit ribosomal RNA", at positions 30 to 418 of the family's 1533-position model. The record is from RNAcentral.
GCGAACGCUGGCGGCAUGCCUAACACAUGCAAGUCUGACGGGCGGGGGGCAACCUCUGUCAGUGGCGGACGGGUGAGGAACGCGUAGGAACGUAUCCAAGGGUGGGGGACAACCGCGGGAAACUGCGGCUAAUACCGCAUGGGGCCUUUAGGGAGACCUGAAAGGGGAGACCUGGGGCCAAAGGCUGGGGAGACCUAGUCGCCUGUGGAGCGGCCUGCGUCCGAUUAGCUAGUUGGUGGGGUGACGGCUUACCAAGGCAGCGAUCGGUAGCUGGUCUGAGAGGAUGAUCAGCCACACUGGGACUGAGACACGGCCCAGACUCCUACGGGAGGCAGCAGGUGGGGAGUAUUGGACAAUGGGCGAAAGCCUGAUCCAGCAAUGCCGCGUGGGUGAAGAAGGUCUU